ACAUUCUUUUCUAUGUUUCAGAUCUUCGUGAUGACAGGGGUUAUCUUGCUGAUCAUAUGGGAGCCAACGCCAUAACAUCUGCUCAGGGGGAGGAGCUAAGGAAGCAAAUUGGUGCUGCAGCUUAUAUUGAGUGCAGUUCUAAGACUCAACAGAAUGUCAAAGCUGUUUUUGAUACUGCCAUUAAGGUUGUUCUUCAACCUCAAAGAAGGAAGGAGAUGGUUCGGAAGAAAAGACAUCGACGGUCUGGUUGCUCGAUUGCGUGAGUACUUCCAUUCAUAAGCUCCUUGAUAUGUUUCUUUGUUGCCCAAAAUGUAUUGCUGUCUGGGAUUAGAUUUAGUUAGUAUUUGCUCAUUAUUUAUUUAUUUAUUUAUUUUUAUAGAUUUAAUGACACAAAGUAUUGUAUUUGCUCAUUAUUGAUAAGCUUAUUUAGAAGCUAAAAUUUCAACAGAAGAUAUUAGAGAGAAGUAAUAAAAGUAAGUGAUGAUAACAUUAAAAUUCUAAACACCCCAUGUGAAAUUGAACUAGUGAAUGUUUUGCUGUUUCCUUCAAUUUAGUACCCUAAUCAGAUAGAAAUAAAGUACAUUGUUAGUAACAUGGGGACUUGGGUUGAGAGUAUAUUGAUGAAAUUUGAAAUUAAAAAAUAACUUUAUAAAUAAAAUGGCAAAUAAAGAUGCUUCUCUGUUUGGUAAUACUGCUUUCUUGUCUUCUUGGCUUGAGCCAAGCUCUAAAUUAAUAUAAUGGGGGGACCUCAAUUGACCUGAAAAUAGUCUUGGGAGAGUACUUGGAAUGGUCU
Long non-coding RNA from Cannabis sativa, 793 nucleotides. RefSeq lists it as uncharacterized. The record is from RefSeq and is a predicted model, not a curated record. The transcript is spliced from 3 exons. Lineage: Eukaryota; Viridiplantae; Streptophyta; Magnoliopsida; Rosales; Cannabaceae.